RNAcentral lists this ribosomal RNA (425 nucleotides) under uncultured bacterium. Its description in RNAcentral is "partial 16S ribosomal RNA". It matches the Rfam family "Bacterial small subunit ribosomal RNA", at positions 355 to 772 of the family's 1533-position model. The record is from RNAcentral.
UGGGGAAUUUUGGACAAUGGGCGAAAGCCUGAUCCAGCAAUGCCGCGUGUGUGAAGAAGGCCUUCGGGUUGUAAAGCACUUUUGUCCGGAAAGAAAUCCUCUGGGUUAAUACCUCGGGGGGAUGACGGUACCGGAAGAAUAAGCACCGGCUAACUACGUGCCAGCAGCCGCGGUAAUACGUAGGGUGCAAGCGUUAAUCGGAAUUACUGGGCGUAAAGCGUGCGCAGGCGGUUUUGUAAGACGGAUGUGAAAUCCCCGGGCUAACCUGGGGACUGCAUUCGUGACUGCAAGGCUAGAGUAUGGCAGAGGGGGGUAGAAUUCCACGUGUAGCAGUGAAAUGCGUAGAGAUGUGGAGGAAUACCGAUGGCGAAGGCAGCCCCCUGGGCCAAUACUGACGCUCAUGCACGAAAGCGUGGGGGAGCAAA